CGGCAUCAUCCCAACCUCUAACUAAUUCGAAUGCUCGGGCUUCGCGUAUCAAGACCCCUAGAAUUGAGGGGCCUCCUGCAGCCGACCUGCCCAAGCCACCACCAUCACCAAAGAAGAUAAAACCGAAGUCA
This 131-nucleotide non-coding RNA is filed under the name uncultured Chaetoceros. The record is from RNAcentral. Lineage: Eukaryota; Bacillariophyta; Thalassiosirophyceae; Chaetocerotales; Chaetocerotaceae.